This 497-nucleotide ribosomal RNA is filed under the name uncultured bacterium. RNAcentral's name for it is "partial 16S ribosomal RNA". It matches the Rfam family "Bacterial small subunit ribosomal RNA", at positions 28 to 507 of the family's 1533-position model. The record is from RNAcentral.
GAUGAACGCUGGCGGCGUGCCUAAUACAUGCAAGUCGAGCGAACAGAUAAGGAGCUUGCUCCUUUGACGUUAGCGGCGGACGGGUGAGUAACACGUGGGUAACCUACCUAUAAGACUGGGAUAACUUCGGGAAACCGGAGCUAAUACCGGAUAAUAUUUCGAACCGCAUAGUUCGAUAGUGAAAGAUGGUUUUGCUAUCACUUAUAGAUGGACCCGCGCCGUAUUAGCUAGUUGGUAAGGUAACGGCUUACCAAGGCGACGAUACGUAGCCGACCUGAGAGGGUGAUCGGCCACACUGGAACUGAGACACGGUCCAGACUCCUACGGGAGGCAGCAGUAGGGAAUCUUCCGCAAUGGGCGAAAGCCUGACGGAGCAACGCCGCGUGAGUGAUGAAGGUCUUCGGAUCGUAAAACUCUGUUAUUAGGGAAGAACAUACGUGUAAGUAACUGUGCACGUCUUGACGGUACCUAAUCAGAAAGCCACGGCUAACUACGUG